This 302-nucleotide long non-coding RNA is filed under the name Salmo salar (Atlantic salmon). RNAcentral describes it as "lncRNA (ENSSSAG00000092686.1, ENSSSAG00020060005.1, ENSSSAG00075067227.1)". Lineage: Eukaryota; Metazoa; Chordata; Actinopteri; Salmoniformes; Salmonidae. The record is from RNAcentral.
GGCAUGGCGAAUCCAGGCCUGACACUGGUCUGACGUGAUGUCAUUGCAUGCGCCAUCCAUAGCCUGGAGAAGGGUGGCUUGUUCGUGAGGCCGCCUAUCAUAUACCUUCCACCUCCAUGUAGAGAAAAAUUCCUCAAUCUGGUUAAGGAAAGGAGAGUAUGAGGGAUGGCUACAGGCCCAGAGGGGAUUGUUGUGGAAGAUGAGCAGGCAGCCAGCAGGGAUUCUAACAUCAGCCAAGCACAGGAGGAGACCAAACAGACAGAGAGAGAGGAGCAGCGCUGUAGCAGAGAGAUAAUGGCCGC